Molecule: ribosomal RNA, 840 nt
Filed under: Hypocreales sp. DT-2019c
Lineage: Eukaryota; Fungi; Ascomycota; Sordariomycetes; Hypocreales
Description: partial 28S ribosomal RNA
Rfam family: Eukaryotic large subunit ribosomal RNA
Source: RNAcentral
AUUGCCCCAGUAACGGCGAGUGAAGCGGCAACAGCUCAAAUUUGAAAUCUGGCCCCUUGGGGCCCGAGUUGUAAUUUGCAGAGGAUGCUUUUGGCGAGGCGACUUCCGAGUUCCCUGGAAUGGGACGCCAUAGAGGGUGAGAGCCCCGUCUGGUUGUACGCUGAGCCUCUGUAAAGCUCCUUCGACGAGUCGAGUAGUUUGGGAAUGCUGCUCUAAAUGGGAGGUAUAUGUCUUCUAAAGCUAAAUAUUGGCCAGAGACCGAUAGCGCACAAGUAGAGUGAUCGAAAGAUGAAAAGCACUUUGAAAAGAGAGUUAAAAAGUACGUGAAAUUGUUGAAAGGGAAGCGCCUGUGACCAGACUUGGGCCCGGUGAAUCACCCAGCGUUCUUCGCUGGGGCACUUUGCCGGGCUCAGGCCAGCAUCAGUUUGCCCCGGGGGAUAAAGGCUUUGGGAAUGUGGCUCCUCCGGGAGUGUUAUAGCCCACUGCACAAUACCCUGGGGCGGACUGAGGUUCGCGCAUCUUGCAAGGAUGCUGGCAUAAUGGUCACCAGCGACCCGUCUUGAAACACGGACCAAGGAGUCGUCUUCGUAUGCGAGUGUUCGGGUGUUAAACCCCUACGCGGAAUGAAAGUGAACGCAGGUGAGAGCUUCGGCGCAUCAUCGACCGAUCCUGAUGUUCUCGGAUGGAUUUGAGUAAGAGCAUACGGGGCCGGACCCGAAAGAAGGUGAACUAUGCCUGUAUAGGGUGAAGCCAGAGGAAACUCUGGUGGAGGCUCGCAGCGGUUCUGACGUGCAAAUCGAUCGUCAAAUAUGGGCAUGGGGGCGAAAGACUAAUCGAACC